UACGGGGGGGGCAAGCGUUGUUCGGAAUUACUGGGCGUAAAGGGCUCGUAGGCGGCCAACUAAGUCAGACGUGAAAUCCCUCGGCUUAACCGGGGAACUGCGUCUGAUACUGGAUGGCUUGAGGUUGGGAGAGGGAUGCGGAAUUCCAGGUGUAGCGGUGAAAUGCGUAGAUAUCUGGAGGAACACCGGUGGCGAAGGCGGCAUCCUGGACCAAUUCUGACGCUGAGUGAGCGAAAGCCAGGGGAGCGAACGGG
This 254-nucleotide ribosomal RNA is filed under the name uncultured bacterium. RNAcentral's name for it is "partial 16S ribosomal RNA". It matches the Rfam family "Bacterial small subunit ribosomal RNA", at positions 524 to 776 of the family's 1533-position model. The record is from RNAcentral.